This 605-nucleotide ribosomal RNA is filed under the name uncultured bacterium. RNAcentral's name for it is "bacterial SSU rRNA". It matches the Rfam family "Bacterial small subunit ribosomal RNA", at positions 8 to 606 of the family's 1533-position model. The record is from RNAcentral.
AGAGUUUGAUCAUGGCUCAGGAUGAACGCUGGCGGCAGGCUUAAUACAUGCAAGUUGAACGGUAACAUAUUGUAGCAAUACGAUGAUGACGAGUGGCGUACGGGUGCGUAACACGUGUGCAACCUACCUUAUACCGGAACAUAACGUCGAGAAAUUGACGCUAACAUUCCAUAACAUUGCUUGAAGGCAUCUUUUAGCAAUUAAAACUCCGGUGGUAUAAGAUGGGCACGCGUUCCAUUAGCUUGUUGGUAAGGUAACGGCUUACCAAGGCUACGAUGGAUAGGGGACCUGAGAGGGUGAUCCCCCACACUGGUACUGAGACACGGACCAGACUCCUACGGGAGGCAGCAGUGAGGAAUAUUGGUCAAUGGGCGGAAGCCUGAACCAGCCAUCCCGCGUGCAGGAAGACGGCCCUAUGGGUUGUAAACUGCUUUUCCAGGGGGAGAAACUUUCCGAUGAAUCGGGAUUUGACGGUACCCUGGGAAUAAGCAUCGGCUAACUCCGUGCCAGCAGCCGCGGUAAUACGGAGGAUGCGAGCGUUAUCCGGAUUUAUUGGGUUUAAAGGGUGCGUAGGCGGAUCGAUAAGUCAGUGGUGAAAACCUGCA